This 539-nucleotide ribosomal RNA is filed under the name uncultured bacterium. RNAcentral describes it as "bacterial SSU rRNA". It matches the Rfam family "Bacterial small subunit ribosomal RNA", at positions 777 to 1308 of the family's 1533-position model. The record is from RNAcentral.
AAUAGAUACCCCCGGUAGUCCACGCCGUAAACGAUGAAUGCUAGGUGUCGGGCUCGUCAGAGUUCGGUGCCGAAGUUAAACACAUUAAGCAUUCCACCUGGGAAGUACGAUCGCAAGAUUGAAACUCAAAGGAAUUGACGGGGGACCCGCACAAGCGGUGGAGCAUGUGGUUUAAUUCGAAGCAACGCGAAGAACCUUACCAAAACUUGACAUCCUUUUGACCGGUCUUUAAUCGGACCCUUCAGAGCUUGCUCUGACAAAAGUGACAGGUGGUGCAUGGUUGUCGUCAGCUCGUGUCGUGAGAUGUUGGGUUAAGUCCCGCAACGAGCGCAACCCUUAUCUUUAGUAGCCAUCAUUUAGUUGGGCACUCUAGAGAGACUGCCAGGGAUAACCUGGAGGAAGGUGGGGAUGACGUCAAAUCAUCAUGCCCCUUAUGUUUUGGGCUACACACGUGCUACAAUGGCUGCUACAAAGGGAAGCAACCCAGUGAUGGUAAGCAAACCUCAAAAAACGCAGUCCCAGUUCGGAUUGUAGUCUGA